RNAcentral lists this long non-coding RNA (2222 nucleotides) under Homo sapiens (human). RNAcentral's name for it is "non-protein coding lnc-SARS2-6:2". The record is from RNAcentral. Lineage: Eukaryota; Metazoa; Chordata; Mammalia; Primates; Hominidae.
CCAUCAUGCAUCUUCAGGUCUGCUAGAGCAAACCCUGAGGGCUGCUUUAGAGAGGGUUAUCAAGGGAGACUUCUUGGAGGAGGUGGCUUCUGACUGUGACUUGAAUGCCAGGACUGUUUGCCCUGCCCCCUGCCAUCUCUCCUUCCCAGAUGGUGCUCCAAGAGGCAGCUUGUGGACCUGGUGAUGGAAGGGGUGUGGCAGGAGCUGCUGGACAGCGCCCAGAUUGAGAUCUGUGUGGCUGACUGGUGAGUGAGGAGCGGCACCCUGCCCCAGAGCAGCAGCAGGCUUGGCAGCGGCUCUGCAACAGGGGCUCAUUUCCCGCCCCAUCAACCCCACGGGUAGCGGCUGUCACUGUGCACCCUUUGUGAUGAGGCUGAGAGGGGAAGUGAUGCAGAGCCGGGGAAGGUAGAGCUUUGGAGAAGCCAGAGCCCCCACUCUGCACUCCUGCCCACCCUCAUCCCAGCAGGCUGGGGUGGUCCACAGGGGGCCACUGACUGGCUUGAUACCCCUCUGAAACGAGACACCUCCCCUGACCACCUUGUGGAUGCCCAGGGUCUCUGAAGGGGUGGGAGCAUGGUGCCCUGUGAGCUGAGGCUCAGGGAGCAUAGUUGGGACAGGACUGGCUUCAGAGCCUACAGGCUUAGGAUGAAUGCCUUCUUCCCAAAACACCCAGGUUCUGCCCCAAAGCAUUCCAGCUCCUCCUUCAGGCUGUGGCUCUUCCAUAGAAAAUCUGGUCUCUUCCCUGGGGCUCUGGCUCUUCCCUGAAGUCAUCAGGCACCUGCCCUGCAUUGUGGUUCUUCCCCAGAGCAUCCUUUCCCGUCCCCCAACUACCUACCCAAAAGCCUCCAGAAUCAACCGCAGGACCACCCAGGCUCCUCCCCCAGGACCACCCAGGCUCCUCCCCUGCUCUGGCUCCACCCCAGGACCACCCAGACUCCUCCCCCAGGCUCUGGCUCCACCCCAGGGUCACCCAGGCUUCUCCUCCAGGUUCUGGUUCCACCCCAGGACCACCCAGGCUCCUCCCCCAGGACCACCCAGGCCCCUCCCCCAGGCUCUGGUUCCACCCCAGGACCACCCAGGCUCCUCCCCCAGGACCACCCAGGCUCCUCCCCUGCUCUGGCUCCACCCCAGGACCACCCAGACUCCUCCCCCAGGACCACCCAGGCCCCUCCCCGAGGCUCUGGCUCCACCCCAGGACCACCCAGAUUCCUCCCCCAGGACCACCCAGGCCCCUCCCCCAGGCUCUGGCUCCACUCCAGGACCACCCAGACUCCUCCCCCAGGACCACCCAGGACCCUCCCCCAGGCUCUGGCUCCACCCCAGGGUCACCCAGGCUCCUCCCCCAGGCUCUGGCUCCACCCCAGGACCACCCAGGCUCCUCCCCCAGGCUCUGGCUCCUCCCCAGGACCACCCAGGCUCCUCCGCCAGGCUCUGGUUCCACCCCAGAACCACCAAGGCUCCUCCCCUAGAGGUUCCCAGGCCAGGACGUCUCCAAAUGUGGUCCAGAUGUGCAGGACCUUCAUCAAGAUGGAGCCAGCCCUCAGCCUCCCGCCCCGAAACCCAGAGAGCUGGCUGGGUGACGGGGGCAUAGAGGCUGACUGCUGCCUGGCAGGUGGGGCGCUCGAGAGAACUGCGGCUGCGUCUACCAGCUCCGGGUCCGCCUUCUGGAUGUGUAUGAAAAGGAAGUGGUCAAGUUCUCAGCCUCACCUGACCCGGUCCUUCAGUGGACUGAGAGGGGCUGCCGACAGGUCUCCCACGUCUUCACCAACUUUGGCAAGGGCAUCCGCUACGUAUCUUUUGAGCAGUACGGGAGAGACGUGAGUUCCUGGGUGGGGCACUAUGGCGCCCUUGUGACCCACUCCAGUGUGAGGGUCAGGAUCCGUCUGUCCUAGCGACUGGACUACUGCCUGACGUUGUCAGUCAAGACCAGCCUUGCAGCCAGGUGCAGUGGCUCACACCUGUGGAAUCCCAGCACUUCAGGAGGCCGAGGUGGGAGGAUCACUGGAGCUCGGGAGUUCAAGACCAGCCUGGGCAACAUAGUGAAACCGUCUCCACAAAUAAUUUUUAAAAAAUUAGCCAGGCAUGGUGGUGCCGCCUGUAGUCCCAGCUACUCAGGAGGCUUGGGUGGGAGGAUUGCCUGAGACCAGGAGGUUGAGGCUGCAGUGAGCCGUGAUUUCACCACCACUCCAGCCUGGGUGAGAAAGCAAGACCCUAUAUCAAUG